This 82-nucleotide transfer RNA is filed under the name Candidatus Margulisiibacteriota bacterium. RNAcentral's name for it is "tRNA-Leu". It matches the Rfam family "tRNA". From Rfam's summary of the family: Transfer RNA (tRNA) molecules are approximately 80 nucleotides in length. Their secondary structure includes four short double-helical elements and three loops (D, anti-codon, and T loops). Further hydrogen bonds mediate the characteristic L-shaped molecular structure. tRNAs have two regions of fundamental functional importance: the anti-codon, which is responsible for specific mRNA codon recognition, and the 3' end, to which the tRNAs corresponding amino acid is attached (by aminoacyl-tRNA synthetases). tRNAs cope with the degeneracy of the genetic code in two manners: having more than one tRNA (with a specific anti-codon) for a particular amino acid; and 'wobble' base-pairing, i.e. permitting non-standard base-pairing at the 3rd anti-codon position. Lineage: Bacteria; Bacillati; Candidatus Margulisiibacteriota. The record is from RNAcentral.
GCCGAAGUGGUGGAACUGGCAGACACGCAUGACUUAGGAUCAUGUGCCGUAUGGCAUAGAGGUUCAAAUCCUCUCACCGGCA